Molecule: long non-coding RNA, 5842 nt
Filed under: Homo sapiens (human)
Lineage: Eukaryota; Metazoa; Chordata; Mammalia; Primates; Hominidae
Description: non-protein coding LINC02246:25
Source: RNAcentral
ACUCCUGCCCCUGCCACGAGAACACACCCUUUCCAGUUUGCUGGAGAAAUAUAAGAGAAGUCCAGUGAAAGAGAGCUGAGUUUCCCCAAUGAUGCCAUCAAGAUGAACUAACUACAGUUAACCAGCCAGCUGAUAGCAGAUGCAUGAGUGAGCCCAGCUGAGAGCAGGUGAAACUGAAAUUGGCUGUAUCAUCUGAAACUUCAUCUGUGAAGUCCCUGGUGGUUUCCUAGAUGACUACACAGUUGAGUUGCCUCUGAUUGGAAAAGCAGUGUUUUGGUUUUUCAGUUUGUACAAGAGGAAGAAGACGCAUGAUAUGUGUUUGGCUCAUGUGCCUGAAUAUGGCUCCACAGGGAAGACUUGAUACAGCUGAAGCUAUUGCUUUUUAGAGACUUUUUAUUUUGAGCAGCUGCCUUAACAGCCUUCGUCUUGUUACAUCACAUGAGAUAUAUCUCUGGAAUAGGAAGAGAAAAAAGACAUGACUGAGCAAUAAUUUUUGACUAAAACUUAAAAUUACAAAACCAAAACCAGAGAUAGAUGUCCCUGAAGUUGUAUUUUUAUAGUAUGUGAGAACACAAUUUUCUUAUCCUAGUUUUAAGGCAUUCCUCUGGACCCAGGAUUUUUGUUUAGUUUCAUUCACAUAAUCAAACUCUUUUUUUUUUUUUUGCCAUAGACUAAUGCAUUUUGGUGUAAUGAUCUGAGCCCUUAUCCAGAAGGCAUCUAAGACUCAUGUACAAAAAUAGAUUUCAGGGCUAAACAUUCUAAAAGACAAUUGAGUGCUUCUUUUUUCUCCGGCCCCUAGAUGUAAAUGAAUAACCUCUGUUCACUAACUCUUAAUGUAAUAUAAGGGAUAAAUUAUGCUUGUUUAUUUAAUUGUGCUUAACCAGAGUACUAGGUUGGAGUCAAACCACAGAUAUAUUUGUGAGAUGUGACAAAAUGUAGCUUUUAGCCCGUAAUACCCAAGUCAUCUGGGAACAUAACUGAUGACAGUGUCAACACCUUUCAGGAAUUCUGGAGGUGCCUUUGAGUUUAGAAAUUCGUAGGUUCUCUAGAAGCAACAGUAGCAUACUAAAUUAACACAUAACAUUUCAAGCUACAUUUACAUAAUUGCAGUGGUUAUGAUUAAUACAAAUUAUAUUAACUGCCUGUUUUACUCCUUAUAGCUGAUUGGCUGAAUUUACCAGUGGGUUUGGUAUGUUCAACAAAUGAUCCAAAUUACCUUUUCAUUUCAGUUAAGAAACUAAUCAAAGCAAAUACACUUUGAUUUGUUGAGAGGCAGAGAUUCUCCCUAAGUGGCAAUGUCCUUGGCCUUCUAAGCUAAAACCUAAAUGGAACUAUAAUAUAUAUUUUGAUGCUUUAUCUCACUUGAGUUUUUUAUUCUUUAACUGAAGGGCAGCCAUGGACCAUAAAUACAUAGAAGAUAAAAAUAUAUUGAGCUUAGGAGUUUGGUCUGUUCAAUGGAUGAGAACUUUAUAUUUUCCCUUAUAAACACAAUUUUCAAAGAAUAGCCUGUAAUAGUCGUGAAAAUGGAAACCAAUACUGGGGAAAUGUGGACUGCAACUCUGAAAAGGUAUCAAAAUGCCCGAUAGUUCAACACAAGGGCUAAGCAAUAUUUCAGGGAUGUGGCCUGUCUUUGGUGGCUCGGUCACUCUAGUGAGAUGAAUUUGGAAAAGGAUAGGCAUACAGAAUCCCCCCUCUGGCAGGGUUUGCCUUUGGGGUCUGCUUAAAGCCAUGUUUGCUAGUAGAAAUCUUGAGUAACCAGAUAUGUUUUAUAAUGCUGUGUCAUAUUUAAAUUCUGAUGAGAUUGACAUCUUUAAAUAAGCUUGGACACAGAUUGGAUUUGUACAGGGAACUGGACUGAAGAAUAAUCGUAGGUCAGUAAUAGAUUUAGAUAUACUAUUUUUAUAUUGUAAGCAGUUACUUCUCAGGAUUAGUAUUCUAAUUCAUUUGAUUUAAUAUGUAAUAGGUAAUAUUAAAAAUAAAGAUUUUAUGCUUUGAAACUCCUUAACUGAAUAUUUUCAUAGGAAUAAGCAUAGUUUUUGUGUUUAGUAAUUUUAGUUAGUGAGUAAUGAUUAGCAGACAACAUGGUAAUUAUAUUGAAAUAUUACGUGAGUGCCAAUAACAAAGCUUUCUGAUCAAAUGCUAAGAAAUAUGUUGUGUAAAGGGAUCUCACAUUUUUUAUUGCGGCUUUCUUUCUACAAUGUGACAAAUUUCUGGGAUAUUUCAUUAUCUUCUUUUUGAAUUUUUUUCAAGCAAGACUGUUCAGUAUUAUGUUAGCAUUGAUAUAAAAAGAAGCAGACCAUUGUUAACAUUAAAAUGUUACUGAGAUUUCAAAGGUAGAGGACAUUAUCCUUUCUUAUUUUUCUUUAUGAUACAGUAUUUGUAACAUAGUGCUUCUGAAAUAGAAAGCACUUUUUGGAAAAUAAGUUUAGUGAAUAGCCAAAUAAUUUCUUACAUAUAACUUACAAAAGUAAUACCAUCUAGGCUAAGCUAUUAAAAAUAUCAGUACAUCAGUAACUACUCAUUAUAUUGACCAACCAGAGCUUAUCCAUUUUUGGUCAUUCUCAUCUAGAUAUACACUUUCAGGCUAAAGAGAGAUUUCCUUCCUUUUUCAAUUGGUUAUGAAUAGAAGUCAUCAAUUUUUUUCUUACUUCCAUCUUAAUGGUUUGAAAUAAAGAGUCAGAUGCACGGCUUUUCAAUUUCUUUUACUACUUUAUUUUAUUACUUGAUUAUUUUAAGGUCAAAAGAUUUCCAUUUCCAAAAUACGUAAUAGAAAUGAUAAAGCAGUAAAAUUUGGACUUAAAAUAAUAUGGACAUUUUUCUUACAAGUGUCAACAUGAUUUACACAUUAUUAAAAAGGCAGUAAAAUUUGAACUUAUACAGCAUAAACUUUACUUAAACUGUCAAAUACAUGGUUUUAAAGUUAUUUUAUUAAUCUAUCACUAAUAAUUAUUUUUCUUAUCAACAGAGAAAGUGAAGUUUCCUAAGCCAUCACUAGAAUUGGAAACACUAGAUUUUAUAAAUUAAUUUCUUUUCAUUGACCUAAACUCCACAUUUCUGCUGUGUUCAUCUGAGGUCAUGUCCAUAUAGUCAAAUAGCUGAAGGAAAGGUGAUAUUUUUAGUCAAAUCAAACUCCAAACAUCAUUUUUAUCUAAAUUAUCUGGAGAAUUGAAUAAAUAUUUUUUUAAGGCUGUCUGUAGAAGAAAAUUAUGUCAAUUUUUCAUUUAGCUAGAGAGGUCCUGACCACAGUGUCUUCUGUUGAAUUUCUCCUCAAGGUAGGAUUCCAAAAUACCUGGAAAAUGUGAAACAGUGUUCCUCGUAUGGGUAAUGUAGCAUCUUCACAAAAAUUCUGUCAUGAUUCAUUUGAAAAAUAAUACCUUCUCAUGUCUAAAAUAGUUUUUCAUGAGAAAUACAUUCUAUAAGAAAAAAACAAUUGGCCUAUCUUAGAGGAAAAUGCUAUUAAAAAUUGUGUUAUGGAAACAGGUAACAUUUUCUUUAUCUUUGUGAGUUUUUUCAACAUAAAUUUUGGUCAGAGAAAUCAUUUCAAAAUAGAAGAGAGUCAGAAAUAAUCAGUACAGAAAUGGUUUUGUUGAGAACUGUUAAUUGAAAAGGCACCAAGUGAAGCCCUCAUCUAUGUUUGCAUAAAAAACUGUUUUCAUCCCUAAGAAGCUUGUAGCGUUUGGUGUUUCUAGAAAGCUACCGCAGAAGUGGUGCUGUAGGGGAUAGUGAUUUUUUUUUUUUUUUUUUUUGCCAACUGAUGUUCCUUAAUGGCAGCAGGCUUCUCAGAAAAAAUGGAAAAUUAAUAAUUCUAUAUAGCAAGUUCUACAUAUCAUCACUCUAUUCUCUAAUACUUAGUGUUUAAUGUACAUAAAGAGUAGCCAAUUGUGAUAUUAACAAACUUAUUAACACCUGUUGACAAAGAUCUUUGAAGACAAAUCUACACGCAAGCUUUUGCCUUAGCGAACAACAGGAAUAGUUUCCUUAAAAGGAUACAGCUAUUUUGAAAUUUCCUCAACCAUUGCAUCCCAGUGGGGGGGAUACUUACAUGGUAGGACUGUUUGGCCAAAGUGCUUGAAGCAUUAGGACACAACAAAGAUAGUUUUGAAAUGUUUUCUUGCUCAAAAUACAUUUGUUCUUAGGACACGGCUAGUGCUCAUUUUACAUUCCAUGCCUGAAGUGUUUAAAACACUGUGGUACAGGUUUCUGAUUCUGUGUUGGUCAAUUUUGAAAUCCAUGUGUUAGUAGUAAGUGUGCUGAUUCGUAGAGUGGGUAACUUCUGGGAACUCCCCUUUCUUUUAUUGACAAUUUCUUUGUAAAGCAAAUGCUAAUUCUACAGGCUAUUAAUAAAGACUGGAACUCCCUUGUUCAUUAGACACGCAGUAGGAAAAUGGGUAACAUAGCUGUAGAAAUAUAUUUGCAAUAUGUUCUCUUCGCACAAUUUGCAUAUAAAUGCCGCUUUCCCUAUUUACUCAAAUUAGCAAUGUGUAAUGGAGCACUCAUAGCCUUUUUGUAGGUUCCUGUGACCUUUAAUUGGCACUCAUUUCAGACAAUUGCCAUUUUAGACAUUGCUAUCGCCAUCUUUUGCAAUUAAGUUUCAAAGUUAUCAUCAUGGCAUUUUUAAUAUUUAGAAAUUUCUUUUUUUAUCUCUGGCUUUCAGUUGAAGACUAUUCACCCCGGUGGACUCAUCAUGUUGGGGACUUUCAAUUGCUACUUUAAAAAGAACGCUUCACUGAAAUAGGUCUCAUCCCAUCAGGAACAUAGAAAAACAAGCAGCAGGCCGGGCGCGGCGGCACAGGCCUAUAAUCCCAGCUACUUGGGAGGCUGAGGCAGAAGAAUCGCUUGAACCCAGGAGGCGGAGGUUGCAGUGAGCCGAGAUCGCGCCACUGCACUCCAGCCUGGGCGACAGAGAGAGACUCUGUCUCAAAAAAAAGUAAAAAAAAAGAAAAAAAGGAAAACAAAAGAAAAAAGAAAAGCAGUUGUUUAUCUUUUGGCUUAAGCCAAAAGAACCUCAAAUGAAAGAAAACAAACAGAUGCCAUUAGAAAAUGCACUAAAGAUAUGAUGAAAGCUUAUCAGAAAUAAUAAUAAAAAAUCAAAUGUAGCACAUCCUAUGUACCUGGCACUGUUAUAGGAGCUGUGUCUGUAUUAACACGUAAGUGUUUGAGGUAGGUACUGUUAUUAUCCCUAUUUGCCAAUGAGAGAAAGAAGGCAAGAGAGCUUAAGGAAGUUUUCCUAAUUGCCCAGCUAGAAGGCAGGACAGGUACAAUUUGGUGCUAGGUGAUUAGGCUUCAGAAUCAUCCCUCAGUCAUCAUAUUUAAUCACAGGCUUCAUGCCAUUAAUGUCUUUGCUCCAAAGUCUUCAUUUGAUUGUUUUUUUCUAACUUGUUAUUUUUUUGAGCAAACAUUCUUGUGAACUUUCAUAUUUUUAAUCCUUCUUUAUUGAGGCUUAAAAAUAUUUUUAAAAAAUAGUAAAAUGUAUUUGCUACAAAACUGAGCACUAACUUUUGAGAAGUUGUUCUAAGCUUUCAUUUGUUUCUGGUCUGAAUCAUCAGCCACGAAUUCUGAAUAAGGCUGAUCUUAUAUUAUUGCCACGUUCAGGUCUCUAGAAAUAACCAUUAUAGGACAUGACCUAUCAUUCUUAUGGAUUUUAUUGAAUGAUGAGCUCAGCUGCUUGUACAAAUCAUUUUAUUUGCCUUCUCCUUUAAUAUAUUUAUCAGCAAAUUAGGAAGCAGUAUUUCGUUUUGUGUUGUUACUCAAAAUAAGAGGAUUUUACAUUUGUAAAAUAUGUUUUUAUAUCUUAGCCCAUUAUCUAUUAAAAACAAAACCAAUAAAAUUUUGUCAUUUAUAA